Molecule: ribosomal RNA, 466 nt
Filed under: uncultured bacterium
Lineage: Bacteria
Description: partial 16S ribosomal RNA
Rfam family: Bacterial small subunit ribosomal RNA
Source: RNAcentral
GAUGAACGCUGGCGGCGUGCUUAACACAUGCAAGUCGAACGGAAAGGCUCCUGCUUGCAGGGGUACUCGAGUGGCGAACGGGUGAGUAACACGUGGGUGAUCUGCCCUGCACUUCGGGAUAAGCCUGGGAAACUGGGUCUAAUACCGGAUAGGACGAUGGUUUGGAUGCCAUUGUGGAAAGUUUUUCGGUGUGGGAUGAGCUCGCGGCCUAUCAGCUUGUUGGUGGGGUAAUGGCCUACCAAGGCGUCGACGGGUAGCCGGCCUGAGAGGGUGUACGGCCACAUUGGGACUGAGAUACGGCCCAGGCUCCUACGGGAGGCAGCAGUGGGGAAUAUUGCACAAUGGGCGCAAGCCUGAUGCAGCGACGCCGCGUGGGGGAUGACGGCCUUCGGGUUGUAAACUCCUUUCGCUAGGGACGAAGCGUUUUGUGACGGUACCUGGAGAAGAAGCACCGGCUAACUACGUG